This is a non-coding RNA of Gossypium arboreum, 145 nucleotides long. NCBI's taxonomy places the organism in Eukaryota, Viridiplantae, Streptophyta, Magnoliopsida, Malvales, Malvaceae. The record is from Rfam.
UAUUAAAAAUUUCAUCCAAUUCUAUUGUUAAAAACUAACGUAGUUGAUAAAAUAAUCAGACAGUUACAUAUGGUCUCUCACGUGUACCUUAUUUUGAUGUAUAAAGAUUAGUUUUUAAUAGUAGAAAUGAAUGAAAUUUUUAACA